GUACGGGUAGUAACACGCGGAUCAUCUACCUCUUAGUGGGGAAUAACCCUGGAAACCGGGGCUAAUACCGCAUAAUCCUGUAAGGGAAAGCAGCAAUGCGCUAGAGAGGAGUCCGCGGCCGAUUAGCCAGUUGGUAGGGUAAUGGCCUACCAAGGCAAUGAUCGGUAGCCGGCCUGAGAGGGCACACGGCCACGGACUGGCACUUGAAACACGGGCCAGACUCCUACGGGAGGCAGCAGUUGGGGAAUCUUGCACAAUUGGAG
This 263-nucleotide ribosomal RNA is filed under the name uncultured bacterium. RNAcentral describes it as "partial 16S ribosomal RNA". It matches the Rfam family "Bacterial small subunit ribosomal RNA", at positions 100 to 377 of the family's 1533-position model. The record is from RNAcentral.